GAUGAAUGCUGGCGGCGUGCCUAAUACAUGCAAGUCGAGCGAACAGAUGAGGAGCUUGCUCCUCUGACGUUAGCGGCGGACGGGUGAGUAACACGUGGAUAACCUACCUAUAAGACUGGGAUAACUUCGGGAAACCGGAGCUAAUACCGGAUAAUAUAUUGAACCGCAUGGUUCAAUAGUGAAAGACGGUUUUGCUGUCACUUAUAGAUGGAUCCGCGCCGCAUUAGCUAGUUGGUAAGGUAACGGCUUACCAAGGCAACGAUGCGUAGCCGACCUGAGAGGGUGAUCGGCCACACUGGCACUGAGACACGGUCCAGACUCCUACGGGAGGCAGCAGUAGGGAAUCUUCCGCAAUGGGCGAAAGCCUGACGGAGCAACGCCGCGUGAGUGAUGAAGGUCUUCGGAUCGUAAAACUCUGUUAUUAGGGAAGAACAAAUGUGUAAGUAACUAUGCACGUCUUGACGGUACCUAAUCAGAAAGCCACGGCUAACUACGUG
Molecule: ribosomal RNA, 497 nt
Filed under: uncultured bacterium
Lineage: Bacteria
Description: partial 16S ribosomal RNA
Rfam family: Bacterial small subunit ribosomal RNA
Source: RNAcentral